RNAcentral lists this ribosomal RNA (1461 nucleotides) under Salmonella enterica. RNAcentral's name for it is "partial 23S ribosomal RNA". It matches the Rfam family "Bacterial large subunit ribosomal RNA", at positions 1491 to 2925 of the family's 2925-position model. Lineage: Bacteria; Pseudomonadati; Pseudomonadota; Gammaproteobacteria; Enterobacterales; Enterobacteriaceae. The record is from RNAcentral.
CCGGGCGACGGUUGUCCCGGUUUAAGCGUGUAGGUGUGUGUUCCAGGUAAAUCCGGUUCACUUUAACACUGAGGCGUGAUGACGAGGCACUACGGUGCUGAAGUAACAAAUGCCCUGCUUCCAGGAAAAGCCUCUAAGCAUCAGGUAACAUCAAAUCGUACCCCAAACCGACACAGGUGGUCAGGUAGAGAAUACCAAGGCGCUUGAGAGAACUCGGGUGAAGGAACUAGGCAAAAUGGUGCCGUAACUUCGGGAGAAGGCACGCUGACACGUAGGUGAAGUGAUUUACUCACGGAGCUGAAGUCAGUCGAAGAUACCAGCUGGCUGCAACUGUUUAUUAAAAACACAGCACUGUGCAAACACGAAAGUGGACGUAUACGGUGUGACGCCUGCCCGGUGCCGGAAGGUUAAUUGAUGGGGUCAGCGCAAGCGAAGCUCCUGAUCGAAGCCCCGGUAAACGGCGGCCGUAACUAUAACGGUCCUAAGGUAGCGAAAUUCCUUGUCGGGUAAGUUCCGACCUGCACGAAUGGCGUAAUGAUGGCCAGGCUGUCUCCACCCGAGACUCAGUGAAAUUGAACUCGCUGUGAAGAUGCAGUGUACCCGCGGCAAGACGGAAAGACCCCGUGAACCUUUACUAUAGCUUGACACUGAACAUUGAGCCUUGAUGUGUAGGAUAGGUGGGAGGCUUUGAAGUGUGGACGCCAGUCUGCAUGGAGCCGACCUUGAAAUACCACCCUUUAAUGUUUGAUGUUCUAACGUGGACCCGUUACCCGGGUUGCGGACAGUGUCUGGUGGGUAGUUUGACUGGGGCGGUCUCCUCCUAAAGAGUAACGGAGGAGCACGAAGGUUGGCUAAUCCUGGUCGGACAUCAGGAGGUUAGUGCAAUGGCAUAAGCCAGCUUGACUGCGAGCGUGACGGCGCGAGCAGGUGCGAAAGCAGGUCAUAGUGAUCCGGUGGUUCUGAAUGGAAGGGCCAUCGCUCAACGGAUAAAAGGUACUCCGGGGAUAACAGGCUGAUACCGCCCAAGAGUUCAUAUCGACGGCGGUGUUUGGCACCUCGAUGUCGGCUCAUCACAUCCUGGGGCUGAAGUAGGUCCCAAGGGUAUGGCUGUUCGCCAUUUAAAGUGGUACGCGAGCUGGGUUUAGAACGUCGUGAGACAGUUCGGUCCCUAUCUGCCGUGGGCGCUGGAGAACUGAGGGGGGCUGCUCCUAGUACGAGAGGACCGGAGUGGACGCAUCACUGGUGUUCGGGUUGUCAUGCCAAUGGCACUGCCCGGUAGCUAAAUGCGGAAGAGAUAAGUGCUGAAAGCAUCUAAGCACGAAACUUGCCCCGAGAUGAGUUCUCCCUGAGACUUUAGGUCUCCUGAAGGAACGUUGAAGACGACGACGUUGAUAGGCCGGGUGUGUAAGCGCAGCGAUGCGUUGAGCUAACCGGUACUAAUGAACCGUGAGGCUUAACCUU